This is a long non-coding RNA of Paramisgurnus dabryanus, 2211 nucleotides long. RefSeq lists it as uncharacterized. Lineage: Eukaryota; Metazoa; Chordata; Actinopteri; Cypriniformes; Cobitidae. The record is from RefSeq and is a predicted model, not a curated record.
GAAUAGCAAAACCGAUAUUGUUUAGCCAUGAAAAAGUGUUCCUACAAAACGCACAUACAAAGCAUAAUGUAAACAAUUGUACAUAUGAAUAAGGCAUAUGAUCAUUCAGCGUUAUUACCUUAUAUAAAUAUAAAAAAGAGCUGGAAAACACACAAGAAUUUGCAAUCCAAUCGCUGGUUCCAAAGCGGAGCGAACCUAUGAAUAUGCAUAUAUGCCCCGCCCAUUGGGACAGUUUUUCACGGGGACAGAAUUUCACACAACACCGGCUUCACAGCUCCGUCUUCAGUUCCUCCCUCGACUGCAAGCGGCAAACCUCGCCGAUCGGUCUGCGCAGCGCCGGAUGAUCUCGAACACACCUAUUUUGUUGCACGUUUUGCCACUCAACCGGGCGAGCUCUCGCGUGGACACGUGGAAAAGUGACGUCAAGGCAUACCCUCUAUUUGACUCGAAGUAGACCACCCCAGCUGGCGCGGGACACUGUUCAAUUAUUUCCUGUGACGUGGCUGCUUAGGCGUUUUGAUAAAUCACAGCUGUUAUUCAUCAACAACUAGCAAAACCAACAUCUUUUAGACUUUUUAAACACAUUUUAAAGUAUAUUAUGAAAAAAAACUUUCAUUAUUCUCUUACAUAUCCGUUCAUAAAUUUAGAGGAAUAUUACAUUAAAAUUUUAAUAGAUUGUGGUCCCUUCCUGUUUAGCAAUGUGUGUUUAUAUUAAAGCUAAAACAAACGUUUGUCUUUAUAAAAUACAUUUCAUGAAGUUUAAGUUGGCGAUUUUUGGUUGGAGGGCUUCAGAAAAGGUCACUUGAUUUCCGGAAAGGUGUCGGAAGACAUUGGCUGUACCCAAAAGCCCUAAAAUGCUGCCUUGUUGUGCAGUCUGUCCCGUUUUCUGCUUUAGCUGAUAAAACGUCUGUCUGGCGAAUGCCGUGUUUACCUGAGGCACAAAGUAUGCAUUCAGUGCUGUUACUACUCGCACGUAAUCUGCGAGACACCCCUCGCUGCAGCCUGCAGCGCGAUGACGUGGUGGAUUAAUCCAAUACGUAGUGGAUGUUCAAACACGCAUGCGCGGUGGUGUGUUGUUGUUGGUGAACAAUCGCACGUGCUUUGGUAUUUCAAGAAGAAUCUGCCGAUGGAAAAACGAUGGAUUAUUUAACAACAGUGAUUGUAUAAAGAUUUGACUGGAUUUGGCAAGAUGCCCUUGCUCAUUAAAGAAGAUGGAGAUGUGGCUUUCCUCAGACUGUCUCUGACAUGCCAGCUUUUUCACCAUGUUCUUAGUGAAGCAUGUUUCAGAGAAAAGGCUCAUGUUGUCUGGCUUGACAGUGUUGUCAACUGUAACACAUUCUCCAUGGUGUAGAGAUUUAUUUACAGAUUGUCCACCUGGUCGAGUUGGAGGAAGGGUGUCCCAGGGACGAAUUGUUCAUCUAUUCUAAAGCAGUGGUGGCGUGGCACUGACCUUAAAGUAUUUAAGAUCAAACUGUGACAAAAGCUUUACCUGACCUGACUGCAGUCAGUUAUAUGUGACCCUGCCUGUGAAAAAACAGGAUAAGUCUUGAAAUGUAAUUAUGAUAUAAUGAGCAUCAAAGUGUUAGUUUCAUUAAUCUCACAUUGAUUUUGAUAUUUGACAUGAUUUUACUCAGUCAACCCCACACACCCAGACAACACUUUCUUUGAACUUUUGCCCUUUGGUGCUACAGAGCACUGAAUACUAGACACAACAACAGUUUGUUCCUCAGGCUAAAACCUAAACAAUUAAAGCACCCAUAACUUCCACACCUGUCAUAACUGUAUAUUGUUUAUAAUCACCACAUACUGUACAUCUGUAAAUACUAUUCUAAACUGUACUUAUCUAUCUGUACAAUAACAGCAUCUUAACAUCCAUACAUGCAUCACUACACACAAUUGUAAAAAGGAGAAAAUAUAUAUACAUAUACUUACUGUACCAUACUGCUUAUUUAAAUUAUUUUUGUUUUUAUAUGACUAGUGUGUUAUUGUCUUUCAUUUUACUUAGUUAUUCUAUGUAUGUCCGUAACAUGUCACCAAGAGAAAUUCCUUGUAUGUGAGAAAAACAUACUUGGCAAUAAAGCAGAUUCUGAUUCAAUAUUAAAGAUAUCAAGGUUAUAAUUUUACAGAAUGUUGUUUACAUUAUGUAGGAUGAGUUAAUGUAGAAACUCACUCACAGAAAGAUGACUAUAGCUGGGUUUUCACUAAGUUAAU